GAAGCAGGAGGAACAGUCGCGCUCUGAAUCCCAGGGUGAGGAAAGUCCGAGCUCCACAGAAUCGAGGCGCCCGGUAAUACCGGGGCGGAGCGAUCCGACGGAAAGUGCCGCAGAAACUAUACCGCCUCUUUUGAGGUAAGGGUGAAAACGUGGUGUAAGAGACCACGGCCGGCCGCAGAAAUGCAGCCGGCGGGUAAACCCCGCCUGGAGCAAGGCCAAAUAGGGGAAGAGGAGUUGAUUCGCUCCGCUAUCAUUCCCGGGUAGGCCGCUGGAGCAGCCGGGUAACCUGCUGCCAAGAUAAAUGACUGUUGACUCCACACGGAGUUUACAGAACUCGGCUUAUUUCCUGCUUGACAU
RNAcentral lists this RNase P RNA (357 nucleotides) under Candidatus Zixiibacteriota bacterium. RNAcentral describes it as "candidate division Zixibacteria bacterium RNase P RNA component class A". It matches the Rfam family "Bacterial RNase P class A". From Rfam's summary of the family: Ribonuclease P (RNase P) is a ubiquitous endoribonuclease, found in archaea, bacteria and eukarya as well as chloroplasts and mitochondria. Its best characterised activity is the generation of mature 5'-ends of tRNAs by cleaving the 5'-leader elements of precursor-tRNAs. Lineage: Bacteria; Pseudomonadati; Candidatus Zixiibacteriota. The record is from RNAcentral.